CAGAACAUGACCAAUGCUGCAAGACAUGAAAAGUAUUGAGGGUUUGUGAACAUUUUCCUGAUAACAUAAUUCUGAAAUAUUGAAUCCCAACACGAUGGCGUGUAUUUCAAUACUUGGAACGACAGGCAAAUCUCUCUCCAAGAUAACAAGUAACUUUUGAUAUACAUCAAAAUAUUUAAUAAUACUGUAAGGGUGUGUUACUGCUGAUGAUUGCCAAAAACACGGUAAUGCGAGCAUUGGUAGGUGGCAGUCGGUCACCAACGGAAGUUGAAGCUGACCUUACAACUUGCGAGCUACAGCGGAUGCUGAGAAAGAAUUAAACACACCACAAAAGUAUGACAGAAUUAUGAUUGUGGCAACAGAGGUGCAAGACAGAAAAAGUACUGCUGCAGAACAAGACAAGGAAGAGAAACCUACAAUAAUUAAUUUAGGCAAUUUAACUUUAGUUAAUUAAAUUUGUGAUGCCUAAUACAAUACAGAAGUUUAGCUUGAACUUCAGCUGAAUAUUGUGAUGCCGUAAUCCUGGUGAAAGAGAACGUACAGCGGUUGUAUUAUUUAUGAAGCUAUUGCAGCAUCAGGGCAACAAUUGCUUAAUUCUGAAAAAACCGAUCAUAUUGUACAGAAGAUAUGAACUGGCUAAUUACAACAUGACUAGAGAACCAGAAACCUAAUGUAAUUUAAUUAAUAUCUAUUAUAUAAGCCUAUAUAAUGAAUUGUUGAUGCCUAAUUAUUUACAUUAUGUGAUUUUGGUUAUGGAAAUAAAAAAUAUAAGUAGUGUGUUGUCUUUGCUGUUGAAAGUUUGAAGACUGACGGAUGCAGGUAAGUUAUGAAAAGUUGUUGCAGCAUCAAGAAAACAACUGCUUCAUUCUGAAAACUGAUUAUAUUUUACAGAAGAUAUGAACUGGCUAAUUACAAUCAAACAAGAGAACCAGAAAGCCAUAGUUAAACUUGCCUAAUUCGACCUUGCCUACCUCAAAUAAUUUCCAAGUCGAACUUAUUUUACAUGCCAAACUGUUUUUCAUUAAUUAACAAUCUGUAAGUCAAAUUUAAUCCAAGUCGAACAAUUUUUCAGUGGCAUUUUGGAUUCGACCUAGGCAUGUUGAACUCUACUAUAAUUCAUUAAUAUGAGCCUAGCAGAUCAUUUUGAUAUUCCAUACAAUUUACAUUAUGUGAUUUUGUGAUAAUACAUAUACUGGUAAAGCAGUGUUUUGAUGUUUCUUUGCUGCUGCAGUUGUGAAGACCGAUGGAUGCAGGUAAGAAAAAGCGCCCUCCAAUAGAAAAAGGCUAAUUUUUCCCAUGUCCCUCAAUUUCUAUUAAAAGUGGUGCUGAAGGGUGCCCUCCAAUAGAAAGCCAAAAUUUCCAGGGUCUCUAAAAUUAUUUAAAGGGGUCCUGUGUGGUGCUGGAAACCGCCCUCUAGAGCAAUUUUAGUUCAACGUUUUUCGGUGGUGUCUUAUUUGUCAUUAAUUAAAUUAAUAAGGUGGUAGUGCCCUCUAAUAGCCAGUUUUUAUGCUAUUAUGAAAAAAUUGGAUGUUAGAGGGCGCUUACUGCCAUUGACAGUUAAGACACCCUAAAAAACUUUGGAUUAAAAUGGCUAUUUAGGGCGAUUUUCUUCACUAUUUUUAUCAGAACCGGACAGAUUAUUGUGGCCAAAUAACUUAGUCAUAUUUAGGGCCUUUUUCUA
Molecule: long non-coding RNA, 1681 nt
Organism: Anneissia japonica
Lineage: Eukaryota; Metazoa; Echinodermata; Crinoidea; Comatulida; Comatulidae
Exons: 3
Source: RefSeq, a predicted model, not a curated record